This 213-nucleotide ribosomal RNA is filed under the name uncultured Gordonia sp. RNAcentral's name for it is "partial 16S ribosomal RNA". It matches the Rfam family "Bacterial small subunit ribosomal RNA", at positions 505 to 716 of the family's 1533-position model. The record is from RNAcentral. Lineage: Bacteria; Bacillati; Actinomycetota; Actinomycetes; Mycobacteriales; Gordoniaceae.
GUGCCAGCCGCUGCGGUAAUACGUAGGGUGCGAGCGUUGUCCGGAAUUACUGGGCGUAAAGAGCUCGUAGGCGGUUUGUCGCGUCGUCUGUGAAAUUCUGCAACUCAAUUGCAGGCGUGCAGGCGAUACGGGCAGACUUGAGUACGUACAGGGGAGACUGGAAUUCCUGGUGUAGCGGUGAAAUGCGCAGAUAUCAGGAGGAACACCCGGUGG